Molecule: long non-coding RNA, 8508 nt
Organism: Bufo gargarizans (Asiatic toad)
Lineage: Eukaryota; Metazoa; Chordata; Amphibia; Anura; Bufonidae
Exons: 12
Source: RefSeq, a predicted model, not a curated record
AAUUUACAGUGCUAAAUUAGAGCAUAUGCUGUGAGGUGAAGAAAAAAAAAAAAAAAAACUGCUGAAGACUGGAGCAAGUACAGUAUCUGUCUGCCCCCUAGUGUAAGGCUUUCAUGUGCUGGAAACUCACAGCGCUCUGCAGAAAGAUGGGAUCUUAAAGGGAAACGACUUUUGGCUCCUUGCAAGAAAGAAACUUCUGUACAUAUUAAUCUGAUUAGCAUCUAAGGAUUUCCAAAUGAAUUGGCUUGAACCUAGCUGGGUAAAGUUUGUGCCUGUGCAUCAUGCAAGCCAGUGAUGAGUGGCUGGCUAUAGGGGGCUGAUGCAGAGUGCUGUCUCAUUGAUGGACCGUGUGUGCCUGAGCAGAGCAUUUCUAUUCAGCCUGCACUGAAGAAAACUCUCCCUGCUGCCUCCAGCAGUCUCUCCAGGAGGACACCUCGGACUAUGAUGUAAAACUUCCCAUUUCCUGAACUACGCAGAAUACUUGGUGGAUUAAUCGGUGGCCAAUUAGGAGAUAACUGGAGAUAAUAUCGUGACCCAGCUGAUAAUGGAGGAGGGGCCUAGAAAAUUGGACGCCUGGGCUUCCUUAACCCUUUGACGAACGACGUUACUGGAGCAGACACCCCCUACUUUAAUCUCCAUGAACAUUAAGACGACCAGCCAGGACACAAGAGACCUCUACAGUCAUCAGAAUGACAACAAAAACUGCGCAGGAGGUUGCUUUGGAAAUAGAAAAAAAGAAUGAAAAUACAGAGAUCCCCUACAAUGUUGACCAUUCCUUCUACUUGUCAUGGAGUAUAUACGCAACUGGACAUCGGUAACUAAAGAGGAUGAGUUUUUGUACUCAGAUUCCUUGAACUAAUGGAGCAGAGACCCCAGAGGUACAGAUAGCCAAAGAACAUAUUUAAAGAGUUACUUAUUGAAAUGAAUGGUCUGCAAAAAAAACGGAAUGGAUACGGAAAGAAAAUGCGUUUGUGUGCAUGAGCCCUAAGGCAGUUAAUAAAUGGGGAUAUUUGGACGAGAUACAUUUAUAUUAGUGGCACAACCCCUUUAAGCCAAGGAGAGCGGUUCAAUUUCUCCUAUCACAUACUGCCAUAGUCCUACGUGGAUUUGCAAUGCAGUUUUUGGCUACAUGUGCGCAUGAAAGACGCUCGGAGAAUAAUGGCUUAUCUCAUUAUCUUGACUGCAGAAUUGUAGAGGGGUAAUCUUGGUUUUCUGAAGAUUAAUCGAGUACUCAUGGGUCCCAUAUAGCAAUUUGAUAAGAGCCCAACAUGUUAGUAAAGGCUAGGAUGACUAACCUGGAAGUCUGGAGCCCGGCAUCGUCAUUAUACUUUGUAUUUAAGAACACACUGAGGGCAGUGAUGAAUAUCAUCCAUGAAGGUAUUCAUCACAACAUGAAGAUAAUGGAUGAAGUAGUGGAGAGAAGAAGCAACAUACUGGAUACAUACAGUUCAGCUUAGCACAGAAGGACGCAUAACAGGAAAGGAAAAAAAGGAAGAGGAAAAGGCAGUUAUGGAGAAAAAAAACUAAAGAGAUGGAGAAAACACCCCAAAAAUAUCAUGGAUGAUAUCAAGUCUCAUCAAAACUGUUGGUUACCAGCCAAUAGUCAUAAGAUCGUGUGACCCUCGUCAUGGACCACAUUGAGUGCAUAGAAUACAGCCUAUACCUUGCCUGAGGAAGAUCAAGGUCAACAGCCAUCCACAUAAAAGAAAAAUGAACAAGUGGAAACCUUGCAGGUCUUUACAAGAUUUAUACUUCCCAGAUUACUUUAACAGUACAUUGAAUGAGGAUUUGCUCAAACGGGGAAAAAAAAAGAACAGGUUUUCAAUGUUUUACCCUGUAUAACACCUUGUGCACAGUAGAAUGUAAAAAUAAGACUAGACCCCUGAAUAGGGGAAAGUGAAUCAUAUUACAGCAUUUGUAACACUGAAGUUAUAGUCUUCUUAUCAAAGGCUUUGAAAAUGUAUUUUUUUUUUUCAGCCCCUUAGCUUACUUUUUUAAAUUAAAAUAUCUUACUGAAGGUCACGGAAGCAUAUGGACUUGCUCAAUCACCAUAGAACAAAAGAUUUGUUUUUGUAACAUUUUGUAAUUCAGCAUUGUAGGCAACAUGCGUCCAUAUAAGCAAUCUGAUUUCCUUCUAAUUUUCUCAAACACCACUUUGAAAUUUAGAAAAAUCAAGUUAAUAUAAAAUGGGGUUAAAGUAAUGAAAUUUGUUAUGCACUAUUUACACAGUGCCAACGUACUCUAAUGUUCUAUACAAAUAUUGUUAUCACUCUCAUCAGUCCUUGUUCCUCAGCGGGCACAAUCACAUGCACACACUAAAUUAAUUAUUUUAUUUAAUUGAAACUUCAAUAUAUUAGUACAUACUGCAUUCAACCAGCACCCCAAAUAUUGUGUCAGUGAUGAGUUAUUUCCCAGGAAUAACUCAGUCAGUCCACCACAUGAAAUUUCAUCCUAGCCAGGCACUUUGGAUUAUGAGCUAUUUAGCAAUAUCUACGCAGUUUGUUCUCUGAAAAUUACAAAUUCGAGUCACAUUAUUAUGACCACCAGCUAAUAUCCAGAGAAACCGCCGUGUGCAGCACGGACACCAGCUAGACGGGUUAGGAGUGACUCAAUAAGGUCCUGGUAGGUUAUUACAGAUAUCUGGAGCCAUGUCGACUGCAGUGCAUCUCACAGCUGCUGGAGGGUGCGUCGGGGAGGAUCCAUAGAGGGAACAUGACGAUAGAAGUUGUUCCAUUGAUGGUCAUUUUUGUUCAAGUCUGGUGAAUUAGGGAGCCAGGGUAAUACUUUGAAGUUUUAGUCAUGGUUUUCCAACCAAUGUCGGUAAUUUCCAGACAUGUAACAUCUUACAUUGUCUUGCUGAAAGAUCUCAUCUGCCCCAGGGAAGAUAAUCAGCCUUUAUGAGUGUACGUGAUCUGCAAGGAUAGAUUCAUACCCAAAUCGGAUGAGAGUGCCUUCCACAUGGAUAAAGUGGCCCAGAGAAUUCCACAAAAACUUUCCUUACCUUAACGCACACACAUCUGGUAGCCCCAUGGUUCACUUUGGCAGUGAGAUGCUCCACUGUAGCGUGUGGGUCUGCCGUCAAGCACCUUCGUAGCUGAAGUCCACCUCUGACAUCUAUAUUUUAGAGGGGCUUCAUGAAUAGUGUCCUGGGUUUGAAUACAAUGUGAAGUCACAUGCAAAAAGGUCCUACUUUUACUGCAAUAGUAAAUUCUAGAUCAUAAGUAGUGAAUACGUCAAUAAACACAGUUGAGAGUGAUGUAUACAGACAACAGAAUGCAAGUAACAUAGUGAAAUAACGAUAAUGUACAAAAUUACUAAUUUUGUAGGCGGAUAGACCUGAUGUAGUCGUUUACAAGAAAUAUUCCCUAGAGCAGCCAGAUUUCCAUUACUGAACAAUCAUCAGUCAUCCAUUUUACCUACCUAUACAAAUGACUAUGUUUAUUCUAAGACUAAUCAAAUUGUAAGCUCUUGGACCCAGAAUUUUGCAAACAUCUGAAUAGAUUGUACAUGUGUUAUGUGUGUUGUAUGACGCUUGACAUGAAAUAUACUUAAGUCUUUUAAUUCUAUUCUGAGGUUGUGAGUGACAUGUCUGCGGCACUGUCAUCGCCAGCUCACCUUGCCCAGAUUUCAUAACUGCAGAAUAUACCUAAUAUGAUAACAGACAAGCUGAACUCCUAUGUGUGAAAAUCUUCAGGUUGUCAGGAUUCCCCUCCCUCACCUCCCUCACACAUUCUUAAUGCCUGUCUUGAUUGAAAGACUUCCCCUCACUUUUAUUUUGCUGCUUAAUUGAAUGGGAUCGCUAGGUUUACACAUGCAGCCAUAUAAAUUACACCGACAAUCAUGUUUUAUUUAUAGGCCAUUGUCAACAAACAUGAGAUACGUCCUGAAGAAUUAAACAUCCUUUACUUGGCGCCAUGAAGUAAAUUGCUUUCUUAGUAUGUAAACUGUACAGGCAAAAUGCAUUCUAUUAAAACAGCCUCAUAUCUCAUUUCUUCUGUUCUGUGCUGACAGUGUGCUUAGUGGUUCAUUGAAAAUUCUAGCCGAUAUCAGCAAUCUAACAGGGCUAUCUUGAAAUCACAUGGCUUGUACAAUUGUUGCUUAACUCAUUGGUAUUAGUUUUAGUAUUGCACAACUGUAAUUCAUCUUUAAAAGAAAUCUGUCACCAGAAAAUUCACUGUUAAACCAGGCACAAUGCCUUGUAGGGCCUUCUCAGCCGAAUGUAAUGAUACCUUUUACUUAGCAAUAUGUUGCUUCAUUCUGUAAGUAAUUUUAAUCCACAUGCACAUGAGCAGUUAGGGGAACUGAGGGUGGGCUACCAUGUGCACCUAUGCUCCUCCUGUUUCCUCCGCCAGCCCCUCUCUCUCCUUCUUGAUUAACAUGGCUAGGAUCCUGCAUAGUCAUCUCCCCAGGUCCUGCCAAUCAAGAAGGAGAGGGAGGGUGCCUCAUAUUGUUCCUCAGAUGGUUAUAGUGCACCAUACAGUAACAAUGCCAUCUUUUGUGCCCCACAAAGUAAGAAUGCUCACUGCUGUUCGCAUAAUGUAGUAUUUAUUCCCCCUAUGUGCCCUCUAGACAGUAAAAAUCACCCUUUUGUACCCCCUAAAAAGUAAUAAUGAAUCCUGUGAGUGCCCUAGUCAUAGUGACCCAAUUUCGGCCAUAGACAUAAUAAUGACCAAUUUACAGUAUGCCCCUUUGAAGGAAAUAAUGUCCCAUGAGUGGCCCUAAAAUAACAAUGCCCACUAAGUGCUCCCUAAAAAGUAAUAAUGCUUUUUGAAUGCCUGCUAAAAAUACCAAAUGUCCCUGAGGGUCCCUAUAAAGUAAUAAUGCCCCAUGUGCCUCCUUAUUAAGUAAUGAUGCUCCCAUGUUGCCAGGAUAAAUAAUAAUGCACCCUGUGCCCCUUGAAAAAAAUGGCAAUGCCCCUUGAGCCCUAUGAUUAAAUAAAAUUGUCCCUGAGUAAAUGCUUCUCCUUGUGACCCAUGGAAAAUCUUGCACUCACCUUAGCUCGACCCCCGAUGAGCACAAGAAGUUAUUUUUAGAGAUGAGCAAAUUUGUUGAAAUUUGUUUUGCGUCUGAUUCUAACAAUUUGGUUGAAAGAUUCAUUUCAGGCAUGAAAAAAUUUGACCAAAAUUGAAAGUGCUUAGAUUGCCCUAAUAGGUUGCAUAUGAUACUCUGGGGUCUUAUAGGACUGUAUGCAACUAAGUUUAAGCUUUUUAAUGCCAAGACAGCAUUAUUAAUAUUAAAGUGACAGCAACAUAUAUGGUUAAGGGUAAAAACAUGGUUGCCAGUUGUUGCCAACAGCUUGUUUGACCACCACACAUUUGUUAUGCUUUUUAAAAGUAAAAAAAGUAUAAAAAAUUAACCCUUUUUGGGGACGAUGCCUGCCAGUGUUUAUACACAUACAUUAGUGUUGGAAAAGCAGUGGCCUGUUCUGAUCAAGCGGUGCAAAAAAUUAUAUCUUAAUGGGAGGAAGCUGCCUGUCCUUGGUUAUACAUACAUCUAGUUUUGGAAAAAGGAAUGGCUUGUUCUGAACAAGCAGUCCAAAUACAAUCCCUUAAUGGGUUUAUAUACUAAUAUCAGCUAAAGCAAUGUCUUGUUUUUGACAAGUAGUCCAAAAAUUCUCCCUUUUUCAGGACAAGCAGCAGUAUGAAAUCUGACAAACAAGGAAGAAGAUGAUUGGCUUUUAAGGGGUACAAACUGCCCCUACCUUAAUAUAAAUGCUAAAGCCUGUCUGUUUAUAAAUUAAUUAAAUCUACCUAACUAAUUAUAUCUACCAAUCCCUAACACUGUCUGUGUAAGGCCUUAAACUUACAAUAUUAUAUGUCUAAAUUGCUGUGUCUGUGACAGAGACGGCCUGUGCCCUUUAACAUCAGUGGAAAAGCUGAGAAUGGUGUCUCUGCUUUGGACAUAAUAUAGUGCCUUUGACACAUCUAUAUUGUUUCUUCUUAUUGGCUGUAAGAAUGACUACAAGGCAUUAUGAAGAAGCCAGCUGACCAGGGCCUGGGGUACUGUGAUUUUCCCCUUCAUAUCCCCUGCCCUGCUGUACUCACUACUGUAAUAUGUAAAAUAGUGGAUGCCAUUUUGCACAAUUCUCCAAAAUCGAAUCGCCAAAACUUUUGGGAAAUGCUAAAUGAAUAAAAAUUGAUUUAGAAUAAAAAUGCUUACCUCUAAUUAUCUUUUAACAGCUAGUGUCAUAGCGGCGUGAUGCAGAGACGUCAUUGUGCCACCUAUCCCGGGAUGAUGAUGUACUGUAUGUUUUGGCAUCCUGUAGGCCGCAGACAGAGAAUGUUAGGGUAAGGAGUCUGUGGCUCCCAGCUCUACCACAGGCGUCAACCAUUUUAAUGUCCUGUGGAUGCUGUUACAGAUGAUUCUGGUGCACCCUACCAUGCCAGUGGGCUGCUGCCCCCCUGCAGCCACUAGCUAUAUGUCUGACUGUAUGUCAUUUUGACACAUUUUGAGUCUGUGUAGCUAUUAAGUGGAGCACAAAUUGCUAUAAAAUCACAGCCCCCAUCUGCUUCCUAAAAUAGUUGCAAAUGGCUUUGUGACUAUUUAAAAUAUCCUUUCCUCCUGUCUUACCUGCUAAACACUAUCAGAUGUCUGUCUACAUGAGACAUUAUACCAGCAACAAAUUAUAAUUUCUAGGUCGACACAUUAGUGAAUUGUCUGCACAUGCCUAACAUGCUUACACAGGCAAAUUGCUUUGAACAUUCGUUUUUGCCCUUAAUUGCAAUCUCUGUACAAUAUUGUUGAAAAUGUUAGUGUUGCAUUAGCAAAAGGAAAUAAAUUGUGCCAAGUUGAAGUCCAAUGCCAUUUUAGAGCCUCCAACAGGAACGCGUGGUGCAAGAGGUGCUGGUAGCCACUUACCCCUUUGUAUUAUAGAAGUAACAUUCAAUUCAUCCAAGUCUAUAUCUUAUAGUAGCCCAAUGUCAUCCACAAACUAUUAGCCAUUUACAUUUUUUAAACUCAUAUAUUAUGGAUACAGCUGCUUAAUACUACAAUUUGGUGUCAAAGAGCCUAGAAUCUGAUAGGUAGAUGACCACAGCUGUUAUCUUUUUAUUCUGAAUUUUAAAAUAAGUACCUUUACAACUUUUUUUUUUAAGCAAACCUUUGUAGUUGUUUCCCCAAAGACUGUAGACGAAUUAAGUCAAUGUCAUGUAUUGUAUACAUUUUCUUUUAAUGUGACUCUUUUAAGAAAUAUUCCUAGAUGUAGGACAUUAUGUACAAUGGUAUGAUAUUGCAGGAUACAACUUGUAAGUUGUAACAUAUUAUUUGGUGAUGUAGUUUGAUGGUUCAGCAAGGUUUUUUGUUUUUUUUCCAGGCCAUGAGAAAAUAAAUCUGACUUAUUGAAAUCUGGAAAUUAUGCUUGAAUUAAGUUCCAGUUCUUUCGUAGUUUUUGAAGACAAAUCAAUUGCAGAUGGUACAUUAUAUUUCCCGCCCUUUCUGUCAACUGCAUGCUGUAAUUAGUUAAAUGUUUUACAAUGUUAUUGUGCGUACUAUGGAACGUGAUUGUGGUUGCAUUAUGACCUAAGGCAAAUAUAAAAUAGACUCUCUUUAUGUGCAACAGGUUCACAGAUGAAAAUGUAUACCUGGAUAUUUCUUCACAGAAGACACAUCUUCUUCUCUGAAGCCACUUUCAAGGAUUCAUCCCAUCUCAACUAUUAUUGUUCAAAUGCACCUUAAAUAAAAAAUUAACCAACUUUGCAAAUAGUCUUGAUUAAAAGUGUCCUACCACUUUGUGUAUACAGCUAUUGUACAGACUUGUAUAUAUCCAUGACUGGAGAUAAACCUUGUGUAUGUAUAGUCUAAUUCUUCAUAUGCUAGUCAUGAAGAUUGUUCAUAAAGAUUCUUAUAACAACUUUCCUGUCAUAAGGUGGUGGUGAAAUGAUAAGACAUAAAGAGGGUCAUUUCCAAAGGCUUUACAACUGUUUUAUGGCAUAAAAAAGUUGCAAAUUUGGCCAAAUAGCAGUUUGAACAAAAAUUUAGCAACUUUUUGCCCGGGCUUAGCUGACGUUCGUUUCAGUUUCUGGCAUAUGGAACUCACAAAUGUGAGAAAUAUAGUAUGAUGCUUGUGCCUCUUAAUACAUUGGUUACAUCUUUUGCCAGCAGGAUUUUUACGCCAGUCUUUAGUAAAUGACACCCAAAAUGUGAGAGUUUUAAAGACAAAUGUUGUAAGGCAGGCAUGCUCAACCUGCGGCCCUCCAGCUGUUGCAAAACUACAACUCCCAGCAUGCCUGAACAGCCUACAGCUAUCAGCCUACAGCAGGGCAAUGUGGAAGUUGUAGUUUUACAACAGCUGAAAGGCCGCAGGUUGAGCAUGCCUGUUGUAAUGCAUUACUGAAAUGUGUGCUGAGGUACAUGGAUGGUUGAACCAAAUAUGGGUUUAUAUUAGUGUAUUAUGCUGAUCCUUGUACACUUUGGUGUUUGUACUUUCACUGUGCACUUUAUUAGGUAUAUGAAUAAAGAAGGGACUUUGUGUUAUGAUCUCAUAUACUGUUACCGUAGCAUUUUGUGUAU